Molecule: long non-coding RNA, 4990 nt
Filed under: Actinidia chinensis (golden kiwifruit)
Lineage: Eukaryota; Viridiplantae; Streptophyta; Magnoliopsida; Ericales; Actinidiaceae
Description: long non-coding RNA (ACHI_LNC003042)
Source: RNAcentral
GAUGAAGAGCUCCAUGGAUAUGGACAUGGAGCACCCAACCAUGAUGAGGUAGAGCUCCAAGUACCUUUUCCUUGAGGUGGGGAACCAUGGCAUGGAGGUGUAGUACUUUGGGUUUAGGGCGUGGAGUUUGAUGUGGUUAAGGAGGUGCCACAAGCCUAGGGCAAAGAAGCCAAAUCCUGGUGCUACAUGCCCCACCAAAGUACCCAUGAUUUUUUUAAAGCUUUGUCUUGGGGGAGAGAGAGAGAGAGAGAGAGAGGGAGGGAGGGCACAAGGAUAUGAGAGAAGACGGGGGGAAGGUGGGGGUUUUAAAGGGGAGUUUCAAGCGGCAUCCACGUCAGAUCAGACUAGCAAGUAUUUUGUUUUUUUGCUAAUUUAGAUUGUAAAAUAUUUAAAAUUGUUCAUAUCAGAUUACCUAAGUAUUUAAAAUUGCUAUAUUUUUUAGUCAUUUUUUAAUAGUAACUAUUCACUUGGUAUUUUUUUAAUAAAUUUUCAUAAUGGAGAAGCUGAUGGAAUUAAAAAAAUAACUAGCUAAAAUAAAGAGUUAUUCGUUAUAAUUUAUUUCAAUUUUAGUGGGAUCUAACAAUAUUAGAUUAUCUUUUUAACUAAAUUAAGCAACAAUAAUUUGAUUAUUUUCUCAAUUUUUUCCUCUAGUUCUACAUUGAGAACUUGGAUAUUUAUUGGAAAAUUAAACAAGGCAAGACGAAAUGUAAAAUUAAAAAAGUAAUUCCUGCCUGUCUCUCUCUCUCUCUAGCUAGGUUAGGAAAAAGAGAAGAAAGCAGAUCACAACUAUUUGUCAAGAAAUUAAAUCCACAUUUCUAGUACUUACUCAAAAAAUGUAAAUGCUUCACUUCCUGAUCCCCAUUUCUUUCUCUAGAAAAAUUCAAAUUGCCAACAAAUGUAAAUGAAUGUUUUUUCCUCUAUUUUUAGUCAUGACUCUACCAUUAAUUUCACAUUUAAGUGGUAGUCGGGGGAGGGGGGGAUGCUGCUUAAUUAGUUGAGUGGUAGUCGUGGUCGUGGUCCUGGUGGGAGUGGCGGUGGUAGUCGUGGUAAGGGGCAUUCAAAAGUGGGGGGACUUAUUGGUUUACAAAAUAUUUCAUGGAACUCAAAGGGUUAAUGUCCAAUUUUUAGGACCUUUCACCAAUUUCACCUUUUUAAGUGGGAUCAUCUAAAUAAUUUUGGCUUAAAGACUGGUGAAGGAAAAAGAAGUACGUGUCAAACCACCCCACAUUGAGAGCUCGAUAUUUCCUUUUCCAAUUAAAGGUUACCUAUUGCUUAUGGAAUCGAAUUGGAUCACGAGGAAAUAGGACAUUUCUUUUUGGAUUUCUUAGUUCUUGUUUCUGUAUUUGAAAUUGUUUUGCAUUUAUAGCUAAAAGAAAACAACAACACAUGAGCUGUAAAAUAGCUCAGGUGUGAGAACAUAUAGAAUUGUACUUCAUGGGAGACUGCAAAAUAUAUUUUGCUUAAACCCUAUUCGUUUUAGGCUUUAUUCGGAUCAAGAAUUUCAAGAGAGAUUUGUUAAGAGAAAAAAAAUAUAAUGAAGAAAAAAUUAAAUUUGAUACGUUAAAUCAAUUAUCUUUCUAUUUAUUAUUUUUCUCAAAUUUUCAAUUCAAAUACAGCCUUUACGUAAUUAGUAUUACGAAACUGAGGGUCACAGUUUCAAAAUUCAAAUUGCUUGGACCAUUUAACAUAAUAGGAGUCUAAGGCAAGGUGGAAUAUUGAACGGGUCCUUUCUUCAAAGACAAUCAGAUGGGUUUUGCUUCUGAAAUGGUUAUAUAUACCCCCAAUGUUUAAUAUAUACAAAAGUACAUGAUAUUUGUUUUGAAAACUACCUAGCAUGGAAAAUUGUUUGAUUUGGCUGCUAAGUCAAUGUUGUAGAAUGAUUUUCAUAGUUUUUCUAUGUUAUUCAUUGUUUACCGAAAAGGAUGUAAAAUUUGAAGAUUUUUUAAAAAUAUUUUCUCAAAAACGCAUUCUUUUUUCGAGACUAGAAAACAUAUUUCAAAAUUCAUCCACUAAAUAAGAUUUCUAAAAAUUAUUCUGCAAAAUUGAUUUAGUAUUCCAUGGUUUAGAGGUGUUAUCAUCCCACGAAUCAGGAUGAUGAACUCGUGUGCUUGAUGGUAGGACCUACAUCAUCGUCCUUGUUGCAACUACAUAGAAAUGCCCUGGACCCCAUGGACUAGGAGCCUCUAAAAUUUUUUCCCAUUUGCAUUAGACUCACAAUGACUCCUUGGAACGGCUCGUGUUUUUUACUGAACUGGCCAAAGAUAGGCAAGAAUUCAAACGAAUCAUUUAGUUUCGGUCACCAUCUUAGGAGUUUACUAUUUUUGGAAGAAUUUGAUUUGACUCGUUUAUUACUUUGUUUCUCUGUUUUGAUUUGUGUCUGUCAAAAUCCUGAAAUCCUUUGUUUUGACUCGUAUCUAGAAUCUAUGAAUUUUGUACGUUUUGACCAUUUUCCUACUAGUUUUUUAAAAACAACCCUGAUUUGCAAAUAUUUGAUUUUCAAAACGAUGGGUAGUUUUUUUUUUCAAUUUUUGUUGAUCAAUUUAAUUUUCGUGAAACCAUGAUUUGGUUUUCAAUAUUCUAUAAAACAAAUCCAUGCAUCCGUUCACAUGGUUGUUCUUGAGCUGUGCCUGCCAGUGACUCACACGAAUGGACGGGUGAAGCCUUCGCAAGUCGAGUCAACUCUGUCUCGUGCCAUGCAAAAUGCAUGCUUCAUGAAUUCAUCUUUUUUCAACAGAAAAGGAUCAAAAUGAUUCGUAAAUAAGAGAAGAGACCUUUACAAGUGAUUGUUAUAAAUAAAUGAAGAAACAAACACAAUGAACUUCACCCAAAGCGAAAAACAGACCAAACAAUAAACUCAUUUCAAUGACCCCUCAACUUUUUACCUAAGUUCAUGGAUUCAUUUGCAGCUAAUUUAAUUGUGGGCUUAAUCUAUAAAAAAUAAAAAUAAAAAACAUAUUCAUUAAUGCACAAAACACUCCCUUGUAAGAAGGUAAUUCAGAGAGGUAGCAGUAACUUAAUUGAUUCUAAGGAUUCAUGAGGAGAGACCGAUUUAUAUGACUGGGACCCGUCUCACAAUGCUGUCGUUGUAUUAGAUUACGAUUUCUAUGAUCACUUUGUAUAGUUCACCAAACUUAGCAUAAGGAGUGAAAGCUUCCUGAGUCAACAGAGCACGUGAAUUGAAUCAUACAGAGUAAAAAAUUGUGCUAAAUCUUAGUAACCUCAUUCGCGGUCUCAAUGCUCUUCGUUAAAAGUGCCCAAACGUAUAGAGUGAUCUAAGAAUCACUAGAAAAUUUUUGAACGGAAAAAUGGCUCUUACUUGAAUAGUCGACCUAAUUGUAAAUUCCAAACGUGAAGCACACGAUCGAUAUAUUAGUGAGAGAAGAAAAUAUGUCUCUCAGAUGACUCAUUAUAAUCACAUAAUACGAAAUGAGAAUUCUUCACAACAAAUUUGUGGUAUGAAGAAACAAUAAAGUAACACCCUCUUUAUUUUUCUAUACAAAUAAACACAAUGAACCCCCCCUAAGCUCAAAGCCAUCAAUGCAGACCAAACAAUAAUCAAACCCCCUAUUUUCCCUAUCAACUUUUCACUCAAAUCAACUUCCACGAAGCCAACAUUAUUGUGGGCUUGGCUUAUACAAACAAACUCAAAAGGCACACAAAAAAAAGACCAACCUAAUAACAAUUUUCUUUUUACAUAUGUACCUAACCACACUUUUUUUUUUUCCUACCUUUCAAUGUCCAUUGGAGCAAAGGCUUUUCCCAUGUGAUCCACAAAGUGUUUGCUUUUCUUUUGAGCCUCGACAUCUUCAACCUCUUCUUGUUGUUCGUACUCGGACAGAGUUUGGUACUCAACUUUCUCUCCAUAGAUUUUGUUCAAGCACAAGUACAAGCACAUGGACCAAAUAAUUACAAGAACCAAGUACCAGCUAAACUCAAUGUUCACAAGUGACCUAGCCCGCUCGAGCGCCUCAUGGGACCCGCACCGGACCACCUUGUGACCCUCCUCCAAGUUCAUGAAGCAACCCUUGGGCAUAAAUUCUGGGGUCCAAAGCAUGAAUCCCAUGACCAUGAGCCAAACCCCUUGGAAAAGUAUGCUAAUGGACCUAACAAAGCUAAUAAGGAAACAUUUGGGGUAACCAAUUCCCAUGAGAGUGGUGAGGAGAGAGAGAAAGAUGACAACUUGGAGGAGGAGGUGGUACUGGCCUUCGACCCCCAUGUGGUCCGCGGAGUGGAGGUGGAAGAUGAGGAGCUGCUGGCCAAAGGCGGCAGCCCCAAGCAAUUGUGUGAGGCCAUAUUGGGACUUGUUGGGGGAAAACUUGUCAAGAAUAAUUGCAAAACAAGCGUAAACAAAGAAGGUGAGGGAUAUGGUGGAGUGUUCAAAGUUGUGGAGGUGGUAGGAGGGGAUGGUGCCAUCUGGGUCAAAGGGUUGGUGCCGGCUCGGCCCGAUGAAGAGCUCCAUGGAUAUGGACAUGGAGCACCCAACCAUGAUGAGGAAGAGUUCCAAGUACCUUAUCUUUGAGGUGGGGAACCAUGGCAUGGAGGUGUAGUACCUUGGGUUUAGGGCAUGGAGUUUGAUGUGGUUAAGGAGGUGCCACAAGCCUAGGACAAAGAAGCCAAAUCCAGGUGCUACAUGCCCCACCAAAGUGCCCAUGUUCUUUUUUGUUGUCCUUUUUGCUCUUCUUGGUGGUUGUUUGUCCUUGGACAAAGUCAGACAGGCAGACAGAGAGAUAGAGGUAGGGAGAUUUUUGGAAUGAAAAGAGAGAGAGAAAGAGGAUUGGGGUGAACAAGGAUAGGGUCUUGUCCUUGGAGAGAGAGAGAGAGAGAGAGAGGGGGGGACACAAGGAUAAGAGAGAGGAUAGGAUAGGGAAAUUAAGAAAGGUUGGGUUUUUAAAUUGGGUGUUUGAAGGGGUUGAAUAUUUGAAAGCCUAGAGACUUCUAUGGGGGUCUGAAUUUUGAACAUUUUGAAGGUACAUGGAAUGACGGGUUUAAU